GAGAAAGGACAGCAUAUAUAAAAGUUCUGCAGCAAGAAUAAGCUUGGUGCAACACAGGAACAGAAAAUGGACCAGUGAGGCUAGAGGGGUAUGAACAGAGGGAUGACAGUAGAAGAUGUGGACUCAGGAGAGAGAAAGGCAGUGCUAGAACUCAUGGACCUUGAAGGCCAUGCUUCACUCGGGUCCAGCUUGGGGGUUCUGUCCUUGGAAGUGUCUAACGGGAGAAAUCAACUUCAGUACAAAGGAAGAGGUUUUCAAGGAAGUGAAUUUAAAAUGGAGACCUAAAGAAUUACUCAAAUAUACCCUUAUUGCCACAGAUCUUCAAUACAGUCUUCUCUGAAGUCUCUCGAAUCCUCUAGAGAAUAUGUUGCCCAUCCUGGGGGUGCAGUAGUCACUUACCAAACAAAACCAUGAACUGCUAUUCUUGAUAAAUUCUCUAUUCACAACUAAUGUGAAUUGACAACUCUCACCUUGUAGAAUAAUAAUAAAAUCUGA
Callorhinus ursinus (northern fur seal) is the source of this 495-nucleotide long non-coding RNA. RefSeq lists it as uncharacterized. The record is from RefSeq and is a predicted model, not a curated record. NCBI's taxonomy places the organism in Eukaryota, Metazoa, Chordata, Mammalia, Carnivora, Otariidae.